Molecule: unclassified non-coding RNA, 318 nt
Filed under: fungal sp.
Lineage: Eukaryota; Fungi
Description: partial internal transcribed spacer region
Rfam family: Eukaryotic small subunit ribosomal RNA (bases 1-46)
Source: RNAcentral
AAGUCGUAACAAGGUUUCCGUAGGUGAACCUGCGGAAGGAUCAUUAACAUUAUUCUCUUUUACUUUGGGUUUUGUGUUGUUGUUUGAGUUAAAUCUUUUGAUUUGAUUCAAAUCAUUCACAACUCCCAUUCCACCCCAAAUGUGCAUUGUGUUGUGCUUUUUGAGUCAAAUCAAAAGCACUUCUUUUUUAUCUAUCUAUACUAAAUAAAACCCCUUUUUAUUACUUCUAGACUGACUUUAAACCACUUGAUUCGUACACUUCAUACUGUACGAUGACCAAUCAUAAUACAACUCUUAGCAACGGAUAUCUAGGCUCUC